RNAcentral lists this ribosomal RNA (717 nucleotides) under Pseudomonas koreensis. RNAcentral's name for it is "bacterial SSU rRNA". It matches the Rfam family "Bacterial small subunit ribosomal RNA", at positions 8 to 734 of the family's 1533-position model. The record is from RNAcentral. Lineage: Bacteria; Pseudomonadati; Pseudomonadota; Gammaproteobacteria; Pseudomonadales; Pseudomonadaceae.
AGAGUGACCUGCUCAGAUUGCGCUGCGCAGGCCUACACAUGCAAUCGAGCGGAUGAAAGGAGCUUGCUCCUGGAUUCAGCGGCGGACGGGUGAGUAAUGCCUAGGAAUCUGCCUGGUAGUGGGGGACAACGUUUCGAAAGGAACGCUAAUACCGCAUACGUCCUACGGGAGAAAGCAGGGGACCUUCGGGCCUUGCGCUAUCAGAUGAGCCUAGGUCGGAUUAGCUAGUUGGUGAGGUAAUGGCUCACCAAGGCGACGAUCCGUAACUGGUCUGAGAGGAUGAUCAGUCACACUGGAACUGAGACACGGUCCAGACUCCUACGGGAGGCAGCAGUGGGGAAUAUUGGACAAUGGGCGAAAGCCUGAUCCAGCCAUGCCGCGUGUGUGAAGAAGGUCUUCGGAUUGUAAAGCACUUUAAGUUGGGAGGAAGGGUUGUAGAUUAAUACUCUGCAAUUUUGACGUUACCGACAGAAUAAGCACCGGCUAACUCUGUGCCAGCAGCCGCGGUAAUACAGAGGGUGCAAGCGUUAAUCGGAAUUACUGGGCGUAAAGCGCGCGUAGGUGGUUUGUUAAGUUGGAUGUGAAAUCCCCGGGCUCAACCUGGGAACUGCAUCCAAAACUGGCAAGCUAGAGUAUGGUAGAGGGUGGUGGAAUUUCCUGUGUAGCGGUGAAAUGCGUAGAUAUAGGAAGGAACACCAGGCGAAGGACCACCUGGAC